RNAcentral lists this ribosomal RNA (253 nucleotides) under uncultured bacterium. Its description in RNAcentral is "partial 16S ribosomal RNA". It matches the Rfam family "Bacterial small subunit ribosomal RNA", at positions 524 to 776 of the family's 1533-position model. The record is from RNAcentral.
UACAGAGGGUGCAAGCGUUACUCGGAGUUACUGGGCGUAAAGAGCACGUAGGCGGUUGAAUAAGUCAGUUGUGAAAUCCCUGGGCUUAACCUGGGAACUGCAAUUGAGACUGUAUGACUAGAGUCGAAGAGAGGGAAGCGGAAUUUCCGGUGUAGCGGUGAAAUGCGUAGAUAUCGGAAGGAACAUCUGUGGCGAAGGCGGCUUCCUGGCUUCAGACUGACGCUGAGGUGCGAAAGCGUGGGUAGCGAACAGG